CAGAGCUUGCUCUGUGGGUGGCGAGUGGCGGACGGGUGAGUAAUGCAUCGGGACCUACCCAGACGUGGGGGAUAACCUCGGGAAACCGGGACUAAUACCGCAUACGUCCUACGGGAGAAAGCGGGGGAUCUUCGGACCUCGCGCGGUUGGACGGACCGAUGUGCGAUUAGCUAGUUGGUAGGGUAAAGGCCUACCAGGGCGACGAUCGCUAGCUGGUCUGAGAGGAUGAUCAGCCACACUGGAACUGAGACACGGUCCAGACUCCUACGGGAGGCAGCAGUGGGGAAUAUUGGACAAUGGGCGCAAGCCUGAUCCAGCAAUGCCGCGUGUGUGAAGAAGGCCUUCGGGUUGUAAAGCACUUUUAUCCGGAACGAAAUACCACGGGUCAAUAACCGGUGGGGCUGACGGUACCUGAGGAAUAAGCACCGGCUAACUUCGUGCCAGCAGCCGCGGUAAUACGAAGGGUGCAAGCGUUAAUCGGAAUUACUGGGCGUAAAGGGUGCGUAGGCGGUUCGUUAAGUCUGUUGUGAAAUCCCCGGGCUCAACCUGGGAAUGGCAAUGGAUACUGGCGAGCUAGAGUGUGUCAGAGGAUGGUGGAAUUUCCGGUGUAGCGGUGAAAUGCGUAGAGAUCGGAAGGAACAUCAGUGGCGAAGGCGGCCAUCUGGGACAACACUGACGCUGAAGCACGAAAGCGUGGGGAGCACACAGGAUUAGAUACCCUGGUAGUCCACGCCCUAAACGAUGCGAACUGGAUGUUGGUCUCAACU
Molecule: ribosomal RNA, 767 nt
Filed under: uncultured bacterium
Lineage: Bacteria
Description: bacterial SSU rRNA
Rfam family: Bacterial small subunit ribosomal RNA
Source: RNAcentral